This 253-nucleotide ribosomal RNA is filed under the name uncultured bacterium. Its description in RNAcentral is "partial 16S ribosomal RNA". It matches the Rfam family "Bacterial small subunit ribosomal RNA", at positions 524 to 776 of the family's 1533-position model. The record is from RNAcentral.
UACGUAGGGGGCAAGCGUUGUCCGGAUUUAUUGGGCGUAAAGAGCGUGUAGGCGGCCUGAAAGGUCAGCUGUGAAAACUCGAGGCUCAACCUCGAGACGUCGGUUGAAACCAUCUGGCUAGAGUCCGGAAGAGGAGUGCGGAAUUCCCGGUGUAGCGGUGAAAUGCGCAGAUAUCGGGAAGAACACCCGUGGCGAAGGCGGCACUCUGGGACGGUACUGACGCUGAGACGCGAAAGCGUGGGGAGCGAACAGG